UGGCCGGGUACUUAUACAUCCCGACAAAAAGACACAAUGAACAGAUAUGAGAGUACUUGCAGUUAUCUGACAGCUUGUUCAAAGCCACUAACAACUGAUAAAAAAAUCAUGCAUCUAAGACUAAACUAUCAAUCCGUACACAUCCAACAUCCAAUGGAUUUAGUGUAAAGACGUCAUAAACAGCCAGAGAAAAACAUGACCUUG
Molecule: long non-coding RNA, 204 nt
Filed under: Mytilus galloprovincialis (Mediterranean mussel)
Lineage: Eukaryota; Metazoa; Mollusca; Bivalvia; Mytilida; Mytilidae
Source: RNAcentral